UUACCUGGUUGAUCCUGCCAGUAGUCAUAUGCUUAUGUCAAAGAUUAAGCCAUGCAUGUCUAAGUACACAGUCUUGUACACUGAAACCGCGGAUGGCUCAUUAUAACAGCUAUGAUUUGAGAGAUUUAAACAUUGCUACAGGCUAACUGUGGUAAUUCUAGAGCUAAUACUUAUAAAGAAAUGUCGUGACAAUGCAAAUUGAAGCGGCGGAUUUAUUAGAUCAAAAUCAACCUUUGUGACUGACGCAAGUUGGUUGCAUGGUUACUUGAUGACUCUGGAUAACUUUACUGAUCGUACGACCUUUGUGUUGACGACAUAUCUCUUGAAAUGGCUGACCUAUCAACUUUCGAUGGUAAGAUCAUUGCUUACCAUGGUUGUAACGGGUAACGGGGAAUCAGGGUUCGAUUCCGGAGAGGGAGCCUGAGAAACGGCUACCACAUCCACGGAAGGCAGCAGGCGCGCAAAUUACCCAAUACCGGCUCGGUGAGGUAGUGACAAUAAAUAACAAUAUGAGCCGUUUACGGUUUCAUAAUUGCAAUGAGAACAUUUUAAAUACUUUAUCAAGUAUCAAUUGGAGGGCAAGUCUGGUGCCAGCAGCCGCGGUAAU
RNAcentral lists this ribosomal RNA (607 nucleotides) under Baikaloplana valida. Its description in RNAcentral is "SSU rRNA". It matches the Rfam family "Eukaryotic small subunit ribosomal RNA", at positions 1 to 583 of the family's 1831-position model. The record is from RNAcentral. Lineage: Eukaryota; Metazoa; Platyhelminthes; Tricladida; Dendrocoelidae.